GUAGUAGAGGGAGCAUCAGGUGGUAGGUGGGGCCCUAGAGCUCCCAAGAGGUUAAGUCCUUUUUCUUGGGCUAUCAGGGCAGGUAGAUAAAGACCAUCAGGUGGGGGCAGGGUUAAGCAUGUCUAAUUUCAGACUCUCCUUGGGCGGGUCUUACUGCAGUUACUGCGGGGGAGGGGGGGUGUGGUUCUCAGGCCAGUGGAAUUCUGCCCCCGGGGGAUUAUGGCUGCCUCUGCUGUGUCAUGCAGGCCACCAGGGAAAUGGGUGAAAGCUGGCAGUUAUAGGCCUCACUCAGCCCAAAAGGCUGGUUUCACUUUCACUGUGCUCCCUCAACAGCACCAAGUUUAUUUCCAGGCAGUGGGUGAGCAGGGCUGAAAAGCUGCCCCAGGCUACCAGCCUCCCAGCUGAGAAAGCAAGCAGGGCUUUUAGAUUUCACCUCUCCCCACCUACCAUGGCUUCUGUGCUGUGAUUGCACUCCUGAUUCAACCCCUCCCCUGAUUUCUGUCGGGGAAACUUUGCAUUCGGUCGAAAUUGUUACAAAGUUCAGCUGGAAGUUUCCUUCCCUGUGUGGUUUCUUCCCGGUUCCUCUGGCAGCCCUCCCCAAGGACUUCUGUAAGACAAAGUCGGAAGUUACUUCCUUGGGGACCGAGAGCCCACAGGGGUCUUCCUACUGCUUCUUCUACCCCUGUAUUUCACUCAGCUCUCUAAAUUUGUCUCAGCUCCAGGAAGGCAGGGAUUUCAACCUGGGCAACAAGUCCACAGAACAUGAGAUUUCUGAAGGUGUGUGGGAUACAUCAUGGUUACAUAAAAAUCCUUUCACUAUAGUUCCUGCUUCCCUAUCUUCAAAAUGAUUCCCUGAAGACUUCCGCCAUGACGGUCUAAAGCCUAACCUCUGAACUGUGGAUGGAAAAUUGAACUCCUUGAUGUGAUCUCUGCACAUCAUGCAACCCUAAACCUAAAUAUAUUCUCUGUGUGGGAGCCCCAUUAUUUUUAGUCUAAUACAUUUUAAGUCAUCUUAAAAAAUUAUAUUUUGUUUUCUUUUAUAUGGUCGAUUUUACCUUGUUUUCUUUGACUAUUACUUGUUGUCUUGUAUGAGAUUCUACUGGUCUCAAGGCUUAAACCUCACAAUCUUCAGGGUCUGAUGGAUUUCUCUCUAUUUUCUAAGUUCCCUGGGAUAUGUUUGAUGAGUUUUUGUGGCAGAGAAGCAGAGAAAGGAGAAAGGUGAUGUCUAUACUACUUCCUUUUUCUCCCCAGCCACAAAUGCCAGAGUCUAUAAAGAGACCCUGAGAAGCAAGCUCUGUGCAGAGUCACUUCUAAGAAAUACCAGGAUAAAAUGUAGGUGAGAGACAUUUGUGUGAAAAAAGGGAUGAGAGAGAGGAGGAAGGAUUGAGAAAAUUUUCAAGGCAGAAAGGGACCUAUAUCUUCUAAUUUGGCAAAAUGGGAGAGGUAGGUAGGAGAUGGGAAUGCUCUCUUAUCUAUCUCGCCUUUUGGAUGGAGAUUAAUAACACAACCCAGGAGAAAGUGAUCCUUAGGAAGCCCAAAUGACUGAAAACAGCCCUCGAGUAUACCAAUUGGACAAGUUGGGGUGAAGGAGACCUAGUUAUUGUAAUACAUAGGUAGAGAUUGUGGUUGUGAGACUGUUGGGUGAUUAACUCAUAGAUGUUCCAAAGUCAUCUGUCAGCUAAAAUAGCUGUCAUUAGGAAUGCUUGAAAGGUUUCAAAGAAUACUUCAGUAGCAAUGAGCAUACCUAGGACCUAGAUCUGGGCUUCUAAAUCUCAUUCUCCACUAAAAGAAUCUGGGUCUCCUUGCACAAGUGGCUGAUUCCAGGUCCAGGGCGUGAAAAGUACAAAGUGAACUUGGAACAUUUCUGUGCCACAAAGCAAGAAAGUGAUCAAAGAAUAAAGGGGACAUGUUGCAAAGGACCCAGGAGCUUGCUUAAAGAGGCUUCCAUUACCUACAUUUGAGAUAAUCUGAGUAUCAUCAUGACUAUUGAUGAUAAUGGAAUAUAACCCAGAUAACAAAAUAAAAAUCUGUAAGUCCAUACUAAUGUAAGUAAAUAAAUGAGGAAAUAAAUGAUGGAGAAGUGAACUCUUUUCCUUAUAGUAGAAUCCCAAAGAAUAAAGAUAGAGAAAAUGAUGGACUUGGAAAAUCACCAUUUGGCAGUCCCUAUAGUAAUAAUUGUUUCAGGUAAAAAUAAACAGAUUCGAAAAUCAGAGUAUGAUGAAAACCAGGAUACUUAAUAUACAUUGUCUCAAAGUAUAUCUCUACAACAUAUUUAUUAAUUUCAAAGAAAAAACUUUCUUUACAUUGGAUAAACCUGAUAGAAAUCACCUCGACUAUAUGAUCAAAGUUCACAUCACCAAUAAUGGGACACAUAGACAUCAUGUGCUUCCUGAGAAGGACAUAACAACAUUUCUAUGAUAUUUCUGUCAAAAAUGCAUAAUCUGAAUCUAAUCAUGAAGGGGUAAUCAGACUAACCCAAAUCAAAGGUUUGUCUACACAAUAACUAGUUUGAAUUAUUCAAAUACUGAGAUCAUGAAAUAAAAGAAAGAAUGAACUGUUUCAGAUUAAAGAAGAACAAACAGACAUGACAACCAAAUGUAACUUGUGAUUCUGGAUUUAUCCCUGGACAAUGUAAAGCACAUUAGUGGGGCAACUGGCAAAAUCUGCAUAUGUAAUUUGUCUACAAAUUGUCCACAAAUUGGAUAAUAGUUUUGGUAUUGGUAAUGGUAAUGAUAUUAUAUCAGUGUUAAUUGUCUGAUUUUGGUAAUUGCACUGUGAUUAUUGAAGAGAAUAUCAUGAUUUUUAGAAACUACAACUGCAGUAUGUAAAGCUAAAGAAAUAUUCUGUCUGAAAUUUGCUCUCUGGGACCUAUAUCUUCUAAUUUGGUGAAAUAGGUAGGAGAGGUAUGUAGGAGGAAUUUGUUUUAGGAAACAAAUUGUAUAUCUUUGUAUAUGUGAAUGACAAAGAAAGUGUGAUAAAAUGAUAAUACUAGAGGAAUACUUGAGAUGCA
Molecule: long non-coding RNA, 3010 nt
Filed under: Homo sapiens (human)
Lineage: Eukaryota; Metazoa; Chordata; Mammalia; Primates; Hominidae
Description: HSALNT0073797
Source: RNAcentral